CUGGGUUAUGUACGAUCGAGAGAAGGAGGGAGCUAGGAAGAACCAAACCCUAACAACAUAGAAUCCAUCAAAUUGAAAGGGAAAUUGAAGGCUAAUCGAAUGCAUGAACUAGGAAUGUCGAUCACUUAAGUAUCUCCAACAUCAAGGUCGAGGAAAGGAGGGGAAUCAAACCAAGCAAAGGCAAUAGGAGCGCACGACUCCGGUGAAUCUCACUCUUGAUAAUGGCGAGCUUGGAUCGAACACACCACAUCGCCCUUUAUGCGCUUCCGGUUUAGUCGUCUUUGUAAAUGGGUCAAAACACUUUCAUAAUGUAAAUGUUAAGUUUAUGUCUAA
Helianthus annuus (common sunflower) is the source of this 333-nucleotide long non-coding RNA. RefSeq lists it as uncharacterized. The transcript has 2 exons. The record is from RefSeq and is a predicted model, not a curated record. NCBI's taxonomy places the organism in Eukaryota, Viridiplantae, Streptophyta, Magnoliopsida, Asterales, Asteraceae.